RNAcentral lists this ribosomal RNA (321 nucleotides) under uncultured Pseudomonadota bacterium. RNAcentral describes it as "bacterial SSU rRNA". It matches the Rfam family "Bacterial small subunit ribosomal RNA", at positions 29 to 351 of the family's 1533-position model. Lineage: Bacteria; Pseudomonadati; Pseudomonadota. The record is from RNAcentral.
AUUGAACGCUGGCGGCAUGCCUUACACAUGCAAGUCGAACGGCAGCACGGGGGCAACCCUGGUGGCGAGUGGCGAACGGGUGAGUAAUGCAUCGGAACGUGCCCAGUAGUGGGGGAUAACCAGUCGAAAGACUGGCUAAUACCGCAUACGACCUAAGGGUGAAAGCGGGGGACCGUAAGGCCUCGCGCCAUUGGAGCGGCCGAUAUCAGAUUAGGUAGUUGGUGGGGUAAAGGCCUACCAAGCCAACGAUCUGUAGCUGGUCUGAGAGGACGACCAGCCACACUGGGACUGAGACACGGCCCAGACACCUACGGGAGGCAG